CCUACGGGGCGCAGCAGUGGGGAAUAUUGGACAAUGGGCGAAAGCCUGAUCCAGCCAUGCCGCGUGUGUGAAGAAGGCCUUCGGGUUGUAAAGCACUUUCAGUGGGGAAGAAAGCCUUGGGGCUAAUACCCUCGAGGAAGGACAUCACCCACAGAAGAAGCACCGGCUAACUCCGGGCCAGCAGCCGCGGUAAUACGGAGGGUGCGAGCGUUAAUCGGAAUUACUGGGCGUAAAGCGCGCGUAGGCGGUCUGAUAAGCCGGUUGUGAAAGCCCCGGGCUCAACCUGGGAACGGCAUCCGGAACUGUCAGGCUAGAGUGCAGGAGAGGAAGGUAGAAUUCCCGGUGUAGCGGUGAAAUGCGUAGAGAUCGGGAGGAAUACCAGUGGCGAAGGCGGCCUUCUGGACUGACACUGACGCUGAGGUGCGAAAGCGUGGGUAGCAAACAGGAUUAGAUACCCCAGUAGUC
RNAcentral lists this ribosomal RNA (465 nucleotides) under Vreelandella stevensii. RNAcentral's name for it is "partial 16S ribosomal RNA". It matches the Rfam family "Bacterial small subunit ribosomal RNA", at positions 338 to 795 of the family's 1533-position model. Lineage: Bacteria; Pseudomonadati; Pseudomonadota; Gammaproteobacteria; Oceanospirillales; Halomonadaceae. The record is from RNAcentral.